GGCGGACGGGUGAGUAAUGCUUGGGAAUAUGCCUUAUGGUGGGGGACAACAGUUGGAAACGACUGCUAAUACCGCAUGAUGUCUACGGACCAAAGUGGGGGACCUUCGGGCCUCACGCCAUAAGAUUAGCCCAAGUGGGAUUAGCUAGUUGGUGAGGUAAUGGCUCACCAAGGCGACGAUCCCUAGCUGGUUUGAGAGGAUGAUCAGCCACACUGGGACUGAGACACGGCCCAGACUCCUACGGGAGGCAGCAGUGGGGAAUAUUGCACAAUGGGCGCAAGCCUGAUGCAGCCAUGCCGCGUGUGUGAAGAAGGCCUUCGGGUUGUAAAGUACUUUCAGUAAGGAGGAAAGGUUAAGUGUUAAUAGCACUUAGCUGUGACGUUACUUACAGAAGAAGCACCGGCUAACUCCGUGCCAGCAGCCGCGGUAAUACGGAGGGUGCGAGCGUUAAUCGGAAUUACUGGGCGUAAAGCGUAC
Molecule: ribosomal RNA, 477 nt
Filed under: uncultured Pseudoalteromonas sp.
Lineage: Bacteria; Pseudomonadati; Pseudomonadota; Gammaproteobacteria; Alteromonadales; Pseudoalteromonadaceae
Description: bacterial SSU rRNA
Rfam family: Bacterial small subunit ribosomal RNA
Source: RNAcentral